CUAAGUGAGAUAGUAAACCACAUACUCACUAGACCAUCAGUGAUAAAAAUAUUUCCCUUGAGCCAACUGUAUUUCUUCAAAUUGGAGGAUCAAUGAUGUAGCAAUCUAUUGGUACAACACCUGACUCUCUUUACUUGGAAAUUUAGUAGUGUGAAGUCCAAGGAGACCAUUUUGCCUUUUGAAGUGACAACAAAAUGCCCAUACCUACCCCCAUUACAUUCGUGGAUCCAUGGAAGAACUUUUUCCAUGCCAACGCAACUUCUGACAUCAACACAUAUUCAUCGAGAGGUCGUUUGAUUGUGGUGGAAUGCCAUAGAACUGACAAAACGGAUGCUGCCGAUGCCAAUGCUAGCCACUGGCCAGGGCAAAGCCCUCCCAAGCUUCCCUCAGCCAUAAACUAGAAGAAAGAAUCACUUGCAGCCCUAAUCGGUGGUGGCUUUCAUUAUAGAAUUUAGGUCGGCAAGAGGGCAUUCCCUGUUGCAGAAUGAGAUACAUUUGAUAAUUUGGCAUAUCCGGAAGAUGCUUUGUGUCUCCUUGAACAAUCCUAUACUGAUCCACAAGUACCUGGGUGCAAUGUUGAAGAUAUUAGCAGCAUACCAAAUCUGGGAAUGGUCUGCCAGCCCACUGAAGAUGGUUCUUUCUUGGAACUGAAUGAUUUUUCAGAAGAAUCAGGACAAGCCGAUUCCCAAGAUAUUGAAGCAACUGUGAUGAUUAAGAAUCACCUUGACUACUUUAAUGCCUCUCCGGCAAGCUUCCCAAUUGAAGAUCGCUGCCUUUUAGAGAUGAAUGAGCUUUCAAAUCCUAUGGAUGCCAACUCAAAUGAUUUUGAAAAACUUGAUGAACUCUUACACUUUUUGAAUGCAACUGAGAACAAUUUGUGUGAGGUUGGGUCAGGUGAUGGGGUUCUAGAUAAGCCAGAUAUUUUUGGCAACGGUUUAAAUGCAAAGUUAGAGGCAAUUUCCAUU
RNA transcript from Nymphaea colorata (pocket water lily), 965 nucleotides. RefSeq lists it as uncharacterized. Lineage: Eukaryota; Viridiplantae; Streptophyta; Magnoliopsida; Nymphaeales; Nymphaeaceae. The record is from RefSeq and is a predicted model, not a curated record. The transcript is spliced from 3 exons.